UGCAGUCUGCAACUCGACUGCAUGAAGCUGGAAUCGCUAGUAAUCGCGGAUCAGAAUGCCGCGGUGAAUACGUUCCCGGGUCUUGUACACACCGCCCGUCACACCAUGGGAGUCAGUAACGCCCGAAGUCAGUGACCGAACCGAGAGGACGGAGCUGCCGAAGGCGGGACGGAUAACUGGGGUGAAGUCGUAACAAGGUAUC
RNAcentral lists this ribosomal RNA (202 nucleotides) under uncultured bacterium. RNAcentral describes it as "partial 16S ribosomal RNA". It matches the Rfam family "Bacterial small subunit ribosomal RNA", at positions 1299 to 1500 of the family's 1533-position model. The record is from RNAcentral.